Molecule: ribosomal RNA, 392 nt
Filed under: uncultured Methanosaeta sp.
Lineage: Archaea; Methanobacteriati; Methanobacteriota; Methanomicrobia; Methanotrichales; Methanotrichaceae
Description: bacterial SSU rRNA
Rfam family: Archaeal small subunit ribosomal RNA
Source: RNAcentral
GAAUGAUAGUGGCUGAAGAUCUACUUGACUAGCCUGAGAGGAGGUGCAUGGCCGUCGUCAGUUCGUACUGUGAAGCAUCCUGUUAAGUCAGGCAACGAGCGAGACCCACGCCCACAGUUGCCAGCGUACUCUCUGGAGUGACGGGUACACUGUGGGGACCGCCGCUGCUAAAGCGGAGGAAGGAAUGGGCAACGGUAGGUCAGUAUGCCCCGAAUAUCCCGGGCUACACGCGAGCUACAAUGGUUGGUACAAUGGGUAUCUACCCCGAAAGGGGACGGGAAUCUCCUAAAACCAAUCUUAGUUCGGAUUGAGGGCUGCAACUCGCCCUCAUGAAGCUGGAAUCCGUAGUAAUCGCGUUUCAACAGAACGCGGUGAAUACGUCCCUGCUCCUU